Long non-coding RNA from Hippoglossus stenolepis (Pacific halibut), 456 nucleotides. RefSeq lists it as uncharacterized. Lineage: Eukaryota; Metazoa; Chordata; Actinopteri; Pleuronectiformes; Pleuronectidae. The record is from RefSeq and is a predicted model, not a curated record. The transcript has 2 exons.
CCAAAAUACUGCCUUAUACAGAAACACUGAGCGGAGGCCUCAGCAAACCGGUUCAAGGACUGAGGGCUUUGUCUGCAGAGGGAGCAUAAAGGAACAGAGUCAGAACUUUGGCUGGAGUUCAAGCUGACCUCGUUGCUCUGUGCAAAUAUCUGCCACCAGAUGGCGAUGGAGACCACUGCACAGACUGGAUGAGUACUGUAAAGUCCAGAGGGUCCUGUACAGUGAAGAGAGCCCUUGUGGGACAAUUCACUGAGGGGCUCCUGCUUUUUUCGUGGAUCUUUGAUGACGGCGCGGAGCAGAGCCGGAGACUGAACGACACAUUCGGAGAAAACCAGACCAGCUCUGGUGUUUGGACUGAGAUGUUCUCAGCUCAAUUGUUAAAUAAACACAUUUUAUUACCUCAAAAUCAAAUGCAAUAAAAAACCUGUUGACUCUAAAGUAAACAUGAUGCAGAAA